This 653-nucleotide ribosomal RNA is filed under the name uncultured bacterium. Its description in RNAcentral is "bacterial SSU rRNA". It matches the Rfam family "Bacterial small subunit ribosomal RNA", at positions 60 to 680 of the family's 1533-position model. The record is from RNAcentral.
AGUCGAACGAAAAGAGGGAAAGAGCUUGCUCUUUCCGGAAUUGAGUGGCAAACGGGUGAGUAACACGUAAACAACCUGCCUUCAGGAUGGGGACAACAGACGGAAACGACUGCUAAUACCGAAUAAGUUCCAAGAGCCGCAUGGCCCAUGGAAGAAAAGGUGGCCUCUACCUGUAAGCUAUCGCCUGAAGAGGGGUUUGCGUCUGAUUAGCUGGUUGGAGGGGUAACGGCCCACCAAGGCGACGAUCAGUAGCCGGUCUGAGAGGAUGAACGGCCACACUGGAACUGAGACACGGUCCAGACUCCUACGGGAGGCAGCAGUGGGGAAUCUUCCGCAAUGGGCGAAAGCCUGACGGAGCAACGCCGCGUGAGUGAUGACGGCCUUCGGGUUGUAAAACUCUGUGAUCCGGGACGAAAAGGCAGAGUGCGAAGAACAAACUGCAUUGACGGUACCGGAAAAGCAAGCCACGGCUAACUACGUGCCAGCAGCCGCGGUAAUACGUAGGUGGCAAGCGUUGUCCGGAAUUAUUGGGCGUAAAGCGCGCGCAGGCGGCUUCCCAAGUCCCUCUUAAAAGUGCGGGGCUUAACCCCGUGAUGGGAAGGAAACUGGGAAGCUGGAGUAUCGGAGAGGAAAGUGGAAUUCCUAGUGUAGCG